Molecule: long non-coding RNA, 337 nt
Organism: Etheostoma spectabile (orangethroat darter)
Lineage: Eukaryota; Metazoa; Chordata; Actinopteri; Perciformes; Percidae
Exons: 3
Source: RefSeq, a predicted model, not a curated record
ACAUUUAGGCAGGAGAAGAUGGAUGAGACUGCUCAUGCUCUACUGGAGCUCCAUGUCACCUCCCUCUGCUCCAAUCAAUCACAGGCGCCAUUUGCCCAACAGCAGCGGGGCCAAAUAUCCAGUUAAAAAAUAUGGCUGUGUACAGAUUUCUACGCCAAAGCUGUGGACCGGUGACGGCGGUUGAGGGACACGUCCAGCAUCCAGACAGAAGAUGAAGCAAGUGUCCAAAAAAGGCAGCGCCGACGCCCAAGGAGGUUCAUGACAGAUUCUUCAAGCGAUGAUGAAUCUGUUGCAGACCGAUAAAACUGUCCAGGACGGAGUGUGCGUCUGGAAGCCC